Molecule: long non-coding RNA, 3708 nt
Filed under: Spirodela polyrhiza (greater duckweed)
Lineage: Eukaryota; Viridiplantae; Streptophyta; Magnoliopsida; Alismatales; Araceae
Description: long non-coding RNA (SPOL_LNC002246)
Source: RNAcentral
AACCCAAGCGGGUCGUCUGAUCCUACCCGCCGGUGGAGACCACUGUCGAGGCCGUUUGUGACGGGACGAUCCCCCCCGGUCACACACGAAGGUGGUUUCUUCUGCCCGCGCCUCCUGAUCAGGUACGUUCAUAGGGCUUUGUACUUCUGUUGAUCAUUCCUCGGCCGUUGCUCCUGCUAAAAUUGCUCCCGUCACGCGUCGGGCAUAGAGGUUCUUAUUAGGGCAAGUAAUUCUGCGAGAUGGAUGAACCCUGUGUUUCUAAGUGCAAGCUCGUCCGAUAGGCCGUGAUCCUUCUUCUGCCCUGUGGUUGUCUUCUAGGAUAUGCUGGUUUUGGACGACCAUGUGAUAGAACAUUUGGUGUAGAGGAAGGACCAAGCCUUCACAAGGAAAUAAAAUAUUGAGCAAAGUAGGAAAACCCUCACGUUAUUCGAAUAUACGAUGAAGCCGAUGAAGGGAGUAAUAUAAAAUUUUGAUAUGUUUCCCCUUUGACUGGGGUGUCGUCGUGUCGGGGAUUCUAUGAAAGCCAUUGAAAGUUGACUAUUUUUUUUUCUUGGCUUGAAUUGCCUCGUUUCUUACGUCAGCAAAGUCGUACUUCGACAAUAUCAGUUUCGCCCUUCUUCCUGACUCUUUCCCAAGUCUGGAGGCAUCAUGGAGGAUCAGUGCCUGGUUACAUUAGCUGAGAGUAUUCAGUGAGAAAUAUGGGUUUUUACUUCGCAAUGGACCUCAUGUCUGGCUCCGUCUUGCAUAACUUGGAGCAAUAAUAUGGCAGAUAGAUUGGUAUUAGAAAGUUGCGAUUGGAUUUAUCCCUAGGUGGUCUCAAGGCUUUUUCGUGAUGAUGGGAAUGAUUUAAUUGCUUUGUACGUUAUGGAUAUUUGAUUGGAUUAUCACGUGGACUAGUCUAUUUGAGAAUUCACAAUCCACUGGGUUUCUGUACCUGUAAAAGAGGUGACAGAUAUUCACCACUGUUCAAUUUAAGUAGGUGUGAAAAUCAAUUCACUCUUCUAUAAUACUUAUCCUGCAUAUCGAUGCAGAACUCAUAUGUUUUUUCAUAUUGUGUGAAAUUGAAAAGAAGGUGUACUGCCGGAUAAUUAAAAAAAAUUGAAAAACAGAAAGAGAAAGAUUCGUGAGUUUUAAAUAUUGCUUGUUGAAUUCUUGCCACAGAUAUGAUCCUGUGUGGAUUUUAUCUCUCAGUCCAUGAUCUUCUGCCUUUUUAUUGCAUAACUAAAUUUUUAUCAUAUAAAUAGUUUAUUUUAUUCUAUGGUGGGAUAGACAAACCAUGGUAAUGUAACUAAUCUCUUCUAGCUAUAAUUUUCAGGAUUUGCGUUUCUCUUUCUCGUACAAAUGGCAGCAUUAAUAUCUCCAUCAAAUUUAGCACUUCUUUCGCUUUCAAUAUCACCCAGGAGUGCUUUAGGUAGGAAGUCCUCAUUUAUGUGAGAUGUUGUGUUUUACUAUCAACUUUGAUUCCUUUUUGUGUUUCAUUUUUAUGAUUUGACUUUUGUAUUUUUGAAUUUAGCAUGUAUUCUGAAAUGCUCGUAAAUAUCGGUAUUGCUAUUUUAUGCGAGGUGCUUGAAGGGCAUAACUUAUGUGGUUUUGAUAUUAUUUAUUUUAUUGAUUGAAAAUUGCAAUAGCCAAUCUUCGUGAUGCAGUUUUACUUUAAUUCUCACCGUUAACUAAAAAUAAACUUCAUCUCCCAUUGAUUGAGUGGUGAUAAUACUUUUUGUAUGUUGAAAAAAUGCCAUGGUAUUUUGUAAGAUGGACAAGUACUUAAACCAUCUGCGAAAACCCUAAGCCUCAUUUCACUGAACAUGAUAGUGAUCAGGAAGGGUAGUAACAACCUGAUGACAUACCCAAGUGAAGGAAGAAAAUAUGCAUCUCUCUUAAACAUUUAUUGCUGUAGGAAACAUCUGUUAUGAAAUCACGUAUGUUUGGAGCCAAGAGGUUCCUAUGUUAGCAUAAGUGAGGCUGUUUUCAGAAAUGCACCAUCAUUCCAUCUUUUUUUUGGGCUGGGGUGGUGGUGGUGUGGCUUGGCUUGUGAUGCUUGAAACCGGAAACCUCUGUAAAAAAAAAAAGGGUCUAGUGAGUUGGAAUUAUCAGCGAGAGGUGCUGUAAACCACCCCCCACCACACCACCCUUUAAAUGAUGGAUCUUAUUUUUCACAGACAUGCUUUUAUUUUAUUUCCCAGUAGAACAGAACGAUAUGUUUGCAGGACCGGAGGAGAAACUAUUCUUGAGAUUUGAUCAUGAGUAGCUAAUGAUGCUCAUAAACAAGCUAGAAUCUUAACGCAUGAUGUAUGGUGUGUUGAUUUCCGUUUGAUGAUGUUAACAAAUUUUUGGUCUUGGCUCUCAUGUAUGCGUGGGCUAUGCAUGGUUUUACUUUUUUGAAAACAUGAAUCCUUUACUUACCUGAUAUGAACUCUGUAUCUUACAUCAUUUUCUGUGUCGCACAGCUUCCAUGGUUUCCAUCUAAAAUAUGGAUUGCAUCAUCGCCAUACGAUCAUAGUGUCAAGCCAUGUACAUGGAUAACUACUUAGCUCAGAAUGAUUCGAUAAAUAUUUUUUGCCGUUGAGAUUCUUUUUUUCUCAUCUCAAUGAAUCUGCAGAUAAGUGUCAGGGUGGAAGGGUCAAACAUGCAGGAUCUGGUGCUCUAGUCUCAUGUCUAAGAUGCGAAGCAUUUCACAGCAGACAACCCACCAUCGCAAGAACACUUCAACCACGUGCUUCGGCAUUGGUAUGCGCAUCUGCUGCUUUGGUGAGUGGUUUUCUGUAUUUUUCUCUUUCAAUGAGGAAGUUCAAUUGACAGUAAUUGUGAUCUUAAAUUCAUCAUAUUAAUAUGAUCAAACAUCAAAUUGUUAAUAUAUAUUUAGUAGGGUGCAUGAAGGCCACUUGUUUAUGCUGCAGAAUGCGCGAUGUGCUGCAGAACAGACACAGACUGUUACACGCCAAUCAUCAACGAUCACUAUCGCUCCUAUCCAAGGUACCGCCCUAUAAACCCUCUGGAAAAAUGCAAGUGAGUAGAUUCCAUCACGUUGUUGUAUAAGGUGAUUUUUUAAAUGGAAGCUGAAAAUAAAUCAAUGUCUACUUCAGGCAAGGAGAAGUCUCCCGAGCUUGAUGAUGGGGGCUCUGGGUUUCCCCCACGUGAUGACGACGAUGGUGGUGGCGGCGGCGGGGGCGGUGGGCCCGGAUGGUCUGGUGGUUUCUUCUUCUUCGGUUUCCUCGCUUUCCUUGGAUUCUUGCAGGACAAAGAGAGGGAAGGAGAUUACAGGGACCGAAAGAAAAAAUACAGUUAUUAAGUCCGCCCAUCCCCUUUGAUCUAUACAUAUUCCAUGAAGGCUGCUGUUGUCUCAGUGUAUCCAGCUGUAGUAGGGCUUUUACGUGAUCUUCAGUGAGUUGUUUUAUGGCUCCAGUGUGGUCUUUCAUCCGCGAGCAAGUCCCUUUUAUCCUUUCCCUGACUACUAUGGACUAUAUAAAUAGAAAUGAUCUGAUGUGCCCAAUCAAAAACGUCAGCAAAACGCACUCAAAAUUUUCGAAUGUCCAAAUGCUAUACUGGGAUUCGCCACUUUUCAGCUGCCUUAUUUAGUUUGAUUCCUGAGAACCUCAUCGAUCUUUUUACUCGCACGAGUUGAUUUCACGGUGGCGGCAGACUAGUACUUACUGUUUUUAAUCUGUUAAACUUUGCUGGUUGGCACCUGAAGCGGUCAUGAUUAAGCAG